CGCACCUUGCGCUCCUUGGUAUUCCGAGGAGCGUGCCUGUUUGAGUGUCGUGAAAUCAUCAACUCCCUUACUUUAUUGUGAGGUGGGCUUGGACUUGGGGAUUGCUGGUGUAAAUCAGCUUCUCUUGAAUGCAUUAGCUGGAAUUCAGUUGCAGCAUAUAUGCGGUGUGAUAAUGUCGUCACUGCGUAGCUUGUACUCCGUCUAGCUUCUAAUCGUCCUUCUCUAGGACAAUUUGAUCAUUUUGACCUCAAAUCAGGUAGGACUACCCGCUGAACUUAA
This 279-nucleotide unclassified non-coding RNA is filed under the name Xylodon sp. RNAcentral's name for it is "partial contains 5.8S ribosomal RNA, internal transcribed spacer 2, and large subunit ribosomal RNA". The record is from RNAcentral. Lineage: Eukaryota; Fungi; Basidiomycota; Agaricomycetes; Hymenochaetales; Schizoporaceae.